RNAcentral lists this ribosomal RNA (441 nucleotides) under Triticum aestivum (bread wheat). RNAcentral describes it as "partial small subunit ribosomal RNA". Lineage: Eukaryota; Viridiplantae; Streptophyta; Magnoliopsida; Poales; Poaceae. The record is from RNAcentral.
AUGUGUACGGACAGUAGAGCCGUUAACAAGAUCACCAUAAGGUAUAGAUUCCCUAUUCCCCGUCUGGAUGAUAUGUUGGAUCAGCUUAGAGGAUCAAGAGUGUUCACAAAGCUAGAUUUAAGAAGUGGAUAUCAUCAAAUCCGUAUAAGACCCGAGGAUGAAUGGAAGACCACCUUCAAGACAAAGGAAGGGUUGUUUGAAUGGCUAGUCAUGCCAUUUGGACUCUCAAAUGCACCAAGUACCUUUAUGCACUUAAUGAAUCAAGUCCUUAGACUCUUCUUAUCCCACUUUGUUGUGGUCUAUUUCGAUGACAUCUUGAUCUAUAGCAAGGACGAGGAUGAACACUUUGAUCACAUUCGGAAGGUGCUAGAAGUACUAAGGGAGCUCUACGUCAACUUGAAGAAAUGUGUUUUCCUGCAAACACAACUUCUUUUCCUAUGA